Molecule: long non-coding RNA, 250 nt
Filed under: Lathyrus oleraceus (garden pea)
Lineage: Eukaryota; Viridiplantae; Streptophyta; Magnoliopsida; Fabales; Fabaceae
Description: Pisum sativum (pea) long non-coding RNA (PSAT_LNC011198)
Source: RNAcentral
UUCACUUAUGCAAGUUUAGCAAAAUUGCAAAUUGGUUUCAUUUGGCAUAAGCAAGCUUAGCAUUUGAUUAAGCCAUGCUAAACAGAAGUAUAAGAGCCAUUUUUUGCUCAUUUACAACCCUAGAGAGAGCAGCCACACGACAGAAAAACCUUGAUACUCUCUCAUUCUCCAUUUUUGCAUUUUGCAUUUUUCUGCUUAAGCAUUCAAAAACCCUCGAACAACUUGGUUUGCUCCAUCAUCUGGACAACAU